UAGGCAGCCUAACAUGCAAGUCGAGCGGACAGAUGGGAGCUUGCUCCCUGAUGUUAGCGGCGGACGGGUGAGUAACACGUGGGUAACCUGCCUGUAAGACUGGGAUAACUCCGGGAAACCGGGGCUAAUACCGGAUGGUUGUCUGAACCGCAUGGUUCAGACAUAAAAGGUGGCUUCGGCUACCACUUACAGAUGGACCCGCGGCGCAUUAGCUAGUUGGUGAGGUAACGGCUCACCAAGGCGACGAUGCGUAGCCGACCUGAGAGGGUGAUCGGCCACACUGGGACUGAGACACGGCCCAGACUCCUACGGGAGGCAGCAGUAGGGAAUCUUCCGCAAUGGACGAAAGUCUGACGGAGCAACGCCGCGUGAGUGAUGAAGGUUUUCGGAUCGUAAAGCUCUGUUGUUAGGGAAGAACAAGUGCCGUUCAAAUAGGGCGGCACCUUGACGGUACCUAACCAGAAAGCCACGGCUAACUACGUGCCAGCAGCCGCGGUAAUACGUAGGUGGCAAGCGUUGUCCGGAAUUAUUGGGCGUAAAGGGCUCGCAGGCGGUUUCUUAAGUCUGAUGUGAAAGCCCCCGGCUCAACCGGGGAGGGUCAUUGGAAACUGGGGAACUUGAGUGCAGAAGAGGAGAGUGGAAUUCCACGUGUAGCGGUGAAAUGCGUAGAGAUGUGGAGGAACACCAGUGGCGAAGGCGACUCUCUGGUCUGUAACUGACGCUGAGAGCGAAAGCGUGGGGAGCGAACAGGAUUAGAUACCCUGGUAGUCCACGCCGUAAACGAUGAGUGCUAAGUGUUAGGGGGUUUCCGCCCCUUAGUGCUGCAGCUAACGCAUUAAGCACUCCGCCUGGGGAGUACGGUCGCAAGACUGAAACUCAAAGGAAUUGACGGGGGCCCCCACAAGCGGUGGAGCAUGUGGUUUAAUUCGAAGCAACCCGAAAAACCUUACCAGGUCUUGACCUCCUCUGAAAAUCCUAAAAAUAAGACGUCCCCUUCGGGGGCAAAAUGACAGGGGGUGCAUGGUUGUCCUCCACCUCCUGUCCGGAAAUUUUGGGUUAAAUCCCCCAACCAGGCCCACCCCUUGAUCUUAUUGCCCCCCAUUCAUUU
Molecule: ribosomal RNA, 1108 nt
Filed under: Bacterium MPBA29
Lineage: Bacteria
Description: bacterial SSU rRNA
Rfam family: Bacterial small subunit ribosomal RNA
Source: RNAcentral